ACGUAGGAGGCAAGCGUUAUUCGGAUUUACUGGGCGUAAAGCGCGUGCAGGCGGUUUGGAAAGUUGGAUGUGAAAGCUCCUGGCUCAACUGGGAGAGGUCGUUCAAAACUUCCAGACUUGAGAGUGGUAGAGGGAGGUGGAAUUCCGGGUGUAGGGGUGACAUGCGCAAAUCUUCGGAGGAACACCAGUGGCGAAGGCGACCUACUGGACCACAUCUGACGGUCAGUCACGAAAGCUAGGGUAGCAAACGG
This 251-nucleotide ribosomal RNA is filed under the name uncultured prokaryote. RNAcentral describes it as "partial 16S rRNA". It matches the Rfam family "Bacterial small subunit ribosomal RNA", at positions 525 to 775 of the family's 1533-position model. The record is from RNAcentral.